AGGGAAUAGAUACCCGGGUAGUCCACGCCGUAAACGAUGGAUGCUAGCUGUUAUGAGUAUCGACCCUCGUAGUAGCGUAGCUAACGCGUUAAGCAUCCCGCCUGUGGAGUACGGUCGCAAGACUAAAACAUAAAGGAAUUGACGGGGACCCGCACAAGCGGUGGAGCGUGUUGUUUAAUUCGAUGGUAAGCGAAGAACCUUACCCAGGCUUGACAUCCUGCCAAGUUCGCCGAAAGGCGAGUGUGCCUUCGGGCCGCAGUGACAGGUGAUGCAUGGCCGUCGUCAGCUCGUGUCGUGAGAUGUUUGGUUAAGUCCAUCAACGAGCGCAACCCUUAUAGUUAGUUGUAUUUCUCUAGCUAGACUGCCCUGGUAACAGGGAGGAAGGGGGGAUGAUGUCAGGUCAGUAUUUCCCUUACGUCUGGGGCUACAAACACGCUACAAUGGCCGGUACAAAGGGCUGCCAACCCGCGAGGGGAGCAAAUCCCAUCAAAGCCGGUCUCAGUUCGGAUUGUAGGCUGAAACUCGCCUGCAUGAAG
This 536-nucleotide ribosomal RNA is filed under the name uncultured bacterium. RNAcentral describes it as "bacterial SSU rRNA". It matches the Rfam family "Bacterial small subunit ribosomal RNA", at positions 773 to 1325 of the family's 1533-position model. The record is from RNAcentral.